AUAGAGUAAAAAUUUGCAUAAGCGGAAGCAUACACAAUGGCUUGCACGAGGGCAAGCAAUUGCCAAAGUGAAAGAAUUAAUAAUUCGACAUACAAGUGAUAUGACUAAAUUUAAAUCAUAUACAUACAUCCAACUAUAAUCAAGUUCUUUCACAUUCUUGCAUCAUUUCUUUUUACAUCUCAUUUCUCUCAAAAUAUAACUUUUGACAUUUAAGUAAAUAUCCUUUACAUCAUUCAUUAA
Molecule: long non-coding RNA, 240 nt
Filed under: Ananas comosus (pineapple)
Lineage: Eukaryota; Viridiplantae; Streptophyta; Magnoliopsida; Poales; Bromeliaceae
Description: long non-coding RNA (ACOM_LNC006944)
Source: RNAcentral